This 214-nucleotide long non-coding RNA is filed under the name Lathyrus oleraceus (garden pea). RNAcentral describes it as "Pisum sativum (pea) long non-coding RNA (PSAT_LNC018860)". The record is from RNAcentral. Lineage: Eukaryota; Viridiplantae; Streptophyta; Magnoliopsida; Fabales; Fabaceae.
AACAUUUCAUUAAUCCUACCAAUUCAAAGAAAACAACAAUGCUUAAAAGCAAUUAACAGUCAACAUGCAAAGAAACUACAAAAGAAAUGCUGAAACAGCCAAAUGAUUGCCAGCUUUAGGGAAUGACUUCUUCAAUCUUGAUCCAUUAACUUAGGGGGACACCCCUUGAGAUCUUCGCACUUGUCCGGUCGAUGGGUUAACAUUUACCAACAAG